Molecule: ribosomal RNA, 253 nt
Filed under: uncultured bacterium
Lineage: Bacteria
Description: partial 16S ribosomal RNA
Rfam family: Bacterial small subunit ribosomal RNA
Source: RNAcentral
AACGUAGGUGGCAAGCGUUAUCCGGAUUUACUGGGCGUAAAGCGUGUGCAGGCGGGGGUACAAGUGGUGUAUGAAAUUUCCCAGCUUAACUGGGAAGGGUUAUGCCAGACUGUACUUCUGGAGUGCGAGAGAGGGGCGUGGAAUUCCCGGUGUAGAGGUGAAAUUCGUAGAUAUCGGGAGGAACACCGGUGGCGAAGGCGGCGACCUGGGUAGAUACUGACGCUGAGGCGCGAAAGCGUGGGGAGCAAACAGG